GAUGAACGCUGGCGGCGUGCUUAACACAUGCAAGUCGAGCGAGGCUCCUUCCUUCGGGAGGGAUGCCCUAGCGGCGAACGGGUGAGUAACACGUGGGCAACCUGCCCCUAGCACUGGGAUAACUCCGGGAAACCGGGGCUAAUACCGGAUACGACCUCUGAGGGCAUCCUCCGGAGGUGGAAAGCAUUGUGGCUAGGGAUGGGCCCGCGGCCUAUCAGCUUGUUGGUGAGGUAACGGCCCACCAAGGCGACGACGGGUAGCCGGCCUGAGAGGGCGACCGGCCACACUGGGACUGAGACACGGCCCAGACUCCUACGGGAGGCAGCAGUGGGGAAUAUUGCACAAUGGGCGAAAGCCUGAUGCAGCGACGCCGCGUGAGGGAUGACUGCCUUCGGGUUGUAAACCUCUUUCAGCAGGGACGAAGCGAAAGUGACGGUACCUGC
This 443-nucleotide ribosomal RNA is filed under the name uncultured bacterium. RNAcentral describes it as "bacterial SSU rRNA". It matches the Rfam family "Bacterial small subunit ribosomal RNA", at positions 28 to 482 of the family's 1533-position model. The record is from RNAcentral.